GAAAGCCGGAUGCGGGAAAUCCGCACGUCCGGUUUGAUGAGCGGGGACGGGAAACGGGGCAAUGCCAUCGCGCCCGUCCUCGACUCUAC
Nitrobacter hamburgensis X14 is the source of this 89-nucleotide non-coding RNA. The record is from Rfam. Lineage: Bacteria; Pseudomonadati; Pseudomonadota; Alphaproteobacteria; Hyphomicrobiales; Nitrobacteraceae.